AUGCACAUUUCACUCUCUGCUUUUUUUCAUAUCAAGAAAAAGGGUAUUUCUGAUGUGCUAGAGGAAUCCCUGUAGGUAAAUUAGCAGUGUGGCUGAUCUAGCCAUCACUGUCUGUCACCUCUACAUAGUG
This 130-nucleotide small nucleolar RNA is filed under the name Echinops telfairi (small Madagascar hedgehog). Lineage: Eukaryota; Metazoa; Chordata; Mammalia; Afrosoricida; Tenrecidae. The record is from RNAcentral.